CGGGGAGCACCACAACAAGGUGGAGCCUGCGGUUUAAUCGGACUCAACGCCGGGAAACUCACCAGAUAAGACAGCUGAAUGAUAGUCGGGCUGAAGACUCUACUUGACUAGCUGAGAGGAGGUGCAUGGCCGUCGUCAGUUCGUACUGUGAAGCAUCCUGUUAAGUCAGGCAACGAGCGAGACCCACGCCAACAGUUGCCAGCUCGUCCUCCGGGAUGGUGGGGACACUGUUGGGACCGCUCUGCUAAAGAGGAGGAAGGAAUGGGCAACGGUAGGUCAGCAUGCCCCGAAUUAUCUGGGCUACACGCGGGCUACAAUGGGUGGGACAAUGGGUAUCGACACCGAAAGGUGAAGGCAAUCUCCUAAACCCAUCCGUAGUUCGGAUUGUGGGCUGCAACUCGCCCACAUGAAGCUGGAAUCUGUAGUAAUCGUGUUUCAAAAUAGCGCGGUGAAUAUGUCCCUGCUCCUU
Molecule: ribosomal RNA, 469 nt
Filed under: uncultured Methanomicrobiales archaeon
Lineage: Archaea; Methanobacteriati; Methanobacteriota; Methanomicrobia; Methanomicrobiales
Description: bacterial SSU rRNA
Rfam family: Archaeal small subunit ribosomal RNA
Source: RNAcentral